Theobroma cacao (cacao) is the source of this 1123-nucleotide non-coding RNA. The record is from RefSeq and is a predicted model, not a curated record. NCBI's taxonomy places the organism in Eukaryota, Viridiplantae, Streptophyta, Magnoliopsida, Malvales, Malvaceae.
UUGUUUAUUGAUGUGAUUAUGAACGUAAGAACGUUGAAUAUGAAUUACUAAACAGUUUAAAUAGAUGUUAAUUAUUUAUUUUAUUUAUAUUUAUUAUAAGUAAUUCCAUUUGGAUCAGUCUCUUGAAGAUCUAUCCUUUUUAUGGAGAUAUUGAUUUGACAGCCUUUGUGGCCUAAACUUUGAGAAGGCUCUAGCCAACGAUGUAUGUUCAGGCCUUCAAAUAGAAGAUCAUAAUAGAGUUGCAGAGUUUGUGGCCAAGGAUGUCCAAUUAAUUCAGGCAAAGAUUGGCGAAGCAUUAAAGUAAACAGUUUACUGUGAAGUAAGAGCACGCAAAAAGAAAUCCAGGUAAAGUUGAUUAAAAUAUUUCUCUUUAAUCUUUAUCCCACUCCUCUUAAUUAUAAGUUUCUAUUAACUAUCAAGUUACACGUCCGAAGACAAGGAUUGUCACAAUCUAUGGUAAUAUUUUUUAUGAUCACAUGUUUCUGAUUUCAUUGUUUUUAUUUAUCAUCAGGUUUUGAUUUUUUGUCUUCGUAACAAUUGCUUUUUCUCUGUUUCUUUCCUUUCUAUUAUUUUUGCUUGCCUUAUCUGAUUGUAAUUUUCAAUUUGUUUUGGUUCCUUAUUUGUUACUCAUUCAUAAUCAUUUAGUUCUUUUAUGACCUUUUAUUUGCGUUCAUUGGGGUUUUAUAUUAUAAUCCAUGGAUUAUUAGUUGUAAAAAAAGAUCUAUACAACAUCUUACUUUAAUGAAUAUCAUGUGCAAACCUCUCCUUAGUUUCUCCUUUUUUCUGCCAUUAAUAUUUUUUUUUCUUCUUUCACAUGCUCAGGUCAAAGCAGUUGGCAUAAAAGAAUCACAAACUAUUUAUCGGUGUGCUGCUAUCCUUGUUAGUCUCUUUAAUAUGACAAUUAUGUUGUUAUUUCUAUAAAUAGUUUGUAAGAAAUUUAUUCACAAGAGCACAUGAAAAUUACAAAAUUGAAUCUGAUAUGGAGUUGCUUGGUACUUUUUAAUUAAUUUCUUUUCUGCCUCCUUAGGUAUUUGAGCACAAAAAUUUUUUUUUUUUCAGUUUAUUUUUUUGUAUGUAACUUAUUUAGAUAUUUAUUCAAGUUUGUUCGAAUUUGUUGGUUUUA